Trifolium pratense (red clover) is the source of this 2959-nucleotide RNA transcript. It is a transcript of the gene named polyadenylate-binding protein 1-like, with no coding region annotated. The transcript has 6 exons. Lineage: Eukaryota; Viridiplantae; Streptophyta; Magnoliopsida; Fabales; Fabaceae. The record is from RefSeq and is a predicted model, not a curated record.
UCAAAUUCAAAAACUUCAAUACAAUCUUUAUCUUUGUGACUCCUCCUUUCUUUCUUCCAUUGCAUAUACAAGAUUCUCUCUCUUCUUUUCUUUUUUUCAUCCUCCAUCUCUCUUAAAACAACAACUCACGCACAACAACAAAGCUGGUAACCUUCCUCCGUAUCAAAUCGGCACACCACCAUCUCAUCCUUUAAUAUGAAACCAAAAAUGCCUACAACGAUUGUUUUUCCGAGGCAAAAAAAUUGGUCUGAAACCCUAACAAAUUAAUCACGUCAAUCAGAUACAUGGAAUAACUUUGAUUUUGAUUUCAAGCAAAAUAUCAAUUGAAGCGGCGAUGUAUUGAAGUAACUUUGGUGAUCUUUGGAUUUUCAUGAAGGAAUGUUCAAAGGGCUUCUCAAAAAACAAGACAAGUAACAGUGAUUUUGAAUACAAGGAAAAUCAAUUGAAGCUGCAAUGGAAGGAACCUCCAUCAAGAAGGAAACACCGUCGAAUCUGCUAUUAGCAAGGACACAUAGCAGGAACCAGUUCAAGUGAUAUUAUUAUUGUUAAUGUUUUUUUUUAUGGUGUUUUGAUUUGAUGGUGUGCUUUGUGACAGUUUUAGUUGAUGUUAGUUUUAUUGUUCUGUUAUUUAUAAGCCUAAGAAAAAUUAAGAACUCUCAAUCUCUCAUAUUUACAUUUAAAGAAAAAUCUGGUAUAAAAAAAUGUCAACCAGCUUUGGAUUAUGAAAAAAGAUGUUUCUCAUUAUUGUGUUUCAUUCAUUUUCGUAUUUCAUAUCAUUAUAUUUUAUUCCUUCAAUUUGUAAUGAUGUUGCUUCCUGCUCUACUUAGAUCUUUGCUUUAUUUUUUUGUUUUCAUGUGCAAUCAGAGGUUCUUGUUGCUCAUCAAUUUGAGGAUAAAUAAAGGUAUGCCAUGUUAACAAUCAAAACAACUAUCCAUUUUCUUUCUAACGUGAUGAGAAUUUGCUUCAUCUUUUCUCAAGGUUUUUUUGUUCCGUCCUGUUUAUUUCGAAAUAUCUUAUUUGAAUUGAGGGGAUGAAGACUAUCAAAUUGAGGGGUCAAGUUUAUGAAUUUCCAUGGAUUAGUUUUUUAUGAAACUAUAUUUAUAUGAAUUAGAUUUGCUUGAAUUAGUAUAAUGAAUAUGAAAAAAUAUGAUUAUUUUUGGAAUUUUUUUAUUUUUUCCUGAUCAAUUUUACAAUUUUACUUUAGUUGCAUACUUUUUUUUUUACUUUAUGAUUAAUUGUAGGAUAAAGAUUUCUGAAAACUUUAAUCCUUAGAUUUCUAGGAAUUUUGAUUAUGAUGAUGCAAAGUUUAUUUCUAUCACAUGUAAAAGAAGUUGCAUAAGAUAUUUUUCAUCAAUACUUUCAUUGGUUGAUUGGUUAGAACAAUACUUGAAUGAGUUAAUUGGUUUGUGUGUUGAAACAUAAUGCUUUUAAUAACACUAAGUAGUGUUGUGCUAAUUUGAAGCUCUAAUUUUUAACGACCAAACCACCUGUUUUAAUGAUAUUGAAUGAAAGGAUGCAUUUUUUGGCAGACUUCACGUUUUGACCUUGAACUCCUACUUUUGGUAAUUCUUUCACAGUCAAACAAAAAAAAUUGGCAAGGCAGAACACACAGUGUUGUGUCACUUUUAGCUCUGAUUUUCUUCUUUUCUUUGUGCAUCUUGACCAUCCCAUUUUGGUGAAAAACCAAAAGCUGUUACUUUGCAAUCUUAUUCUACAAGCUGUGACAAAUGUUUUCAAAAUUAAAAUUUCAAAAAUCCCUCCGAAGUUUAAAAAACAAUGCUUACCUUUGUGACUCCUCUUUUUCUUCCUUUGUGAUUCCUCUUUUGGACAAUUUUUUGAAUUGACCAUUGAGAAGCAAUUGUUAUCGUGUAAUGUUGUAAUGGGCCAUAUUUUUCGUAAGCCCAGUUUAAUUCCCAACACAAACAAAAAAAAUUGGCAAGGUCAGAUCAUUUUAAUUUGCAUUAUUAUAAGGAUUCUCCCUCUUCUCUGUUUUUUUUGCCUCCUCCAUCUCCAAUAAUAGGUGAGAUGGGGUGCAUUUCCAUCCUCACUUUGGUUGAUUAAUGUCUUGAACACAAUCAGGUGAGAUCUAUAUAAAUUUUUUUCCCUGUUCUUGCUUUUAUUGUUGAACACAAUCAGUUUUAUUUCUUUUUUUUUAUUUUGUAUUUAAAUGACAACACUGACAGAUAAAUUUGGCCAAUCGAAAGGAUUUGCUUACCUAGAAUUUGUUGAGGUACAUGUUGUUCAGAAUGAUCUCAUUUUAAAUGAAACUGAAUUGCAUGGCCGACAGCUAAAGGUAUUUUUAUCUGAUUAUCUGUGUAAAUUCAAUUAAUCACUCCAUGUUUACAUUCAUUUUUACUUGAAUUAUGGUUUUUCCUUCAGUCGUCUGCGAAAUGUACAAAUGUGCCUGGAUUGAAGCAGUAUUUUGGAAGAAGACCUGCUGGUUUACGAGCAAGGAGGCCUUUCAUGCCUUCACCAUUCUAUCCACCACAUGCUUACUGGUUUAUGAAAGAAUCCUACAUCCAUAUGAUAUGACAAGAUGAUCAAGAGAAUAGUUGAAUGGUUGUUCCAGAUGCUCAUAAGAAAGAGGUAAGAUGAAGGGAAGUUACAAAGGGAGAUAGCGCCAACACAAAUUGUUACAGAACAAUGAGAUAAUUUUGAGGAUUAUAUUUAGUUUUAUUAUAGUGUGUAUUAUUUCUUUGAUUUUCCUUUCCAUUACUUAAUUUCAUUUUAUUAUUACUACUACGUGCAAGAAUUAUAACUAUAGAGGACAUUAAGAGCAUACCACUAGCCUAUUGUUACUCCUACUGUCAUGAUAGAGAUUGUAUGGGAACUAGGCCUUGAAUCUUUUCUAGGCAUGUGAUCUAUUUGUAAUCUUUUUAGAUAUGAUUUGUAGCAUAAUUAAAGUAGUUAAUGAUUAUGUAAAUCCGAAUAUUUUUCAAUGAUAAAGAAGUUUUUUUUU